RNAcentral lists this transfer RNA (58 nucleotides) under Macrohectopus branickii. Its description in RNAcentral is "tRNA-Thr". Lineage: Eukaryota; Metazoa; Arthropoda; Malacostraca; Amphipoda; Macrohectopidae. The record is from RNAcentral.
GUCUCUGUAGUUUAUCUAAAACAUUAGUCUUGUAAACUAAAAUUGGUCUCCAGAGACC